Molecule: small nuclear RNA, 102 nt
Filed under: Physeter macrocephalus (sperm whale)
Lineage: Eukaryota; Metazoa; Chordata; Mammalia; Artiodactyla; Physeteridae
Source: RNAcentral
GCUCACUUCAAAGAACAUUUAUCAAAUUGGAAUGAUACAGAGAAGAUCAGCAUGGCCCCUCACAAGGACAACACACAAAUUGGUGAAGCUUUCCAUAUUUUU